Molecule: long non-coding RNA, 5089 nt
Organism: Ficedula albicollis (Collared flycatcher)
Lineage: Eukaryota; Metazoa; Chordata; Aves; Passeriformes; Muscicapidae
Source: Ensembl
AUGAUGCAAGUCAACCUUUGCAGCUCUGCACUUGCCUGCUGUUGCGACACCCAGAGACGCACGUGGAAAAGCAGACACUUCCUGCUACCUUCUGAGUUUGGGUGCUCACAUUGCCAAGGUAACCAGGUUAUUUGUGGGCUGUUACAUUCUUGUUUUAUCCUUUAUGUGAGGAAAUCAGGCUAUUUGCAGUGUUGUAAAGGCACGCAAAUAGUUCAGCCAAUAAACACAUCUCUUUAUUUACUGGCACUGGCUGUGAUAGUCGUGCUCUGGGCUGCUCAGAAUGUGUGUGAAAACAGGCUUUCUUCUGGGUUUUGUGCCAUUUGCUCCCAUGCUUCCUCAAAUCUGUCUCCUCAUUGCGGAGUGCCGGGCUGGCUGAAUGCGGUGUGUGAGGAGUUGUUCGCAGGGACAGCAGCUCCGGGGGGGUCCCAUCCAAACUCCGUGUCCUGUUCCUGUGACAGUGUGCAGUGAAGAGCUGUGAGGCUGAAGGGAUCAGCAUUCCUGCAGAGCCCUGAGUCACCUGGCAUGGUACUGAAUUUCAGGAAGGUAGAAUAACUGGAGCGAGAGUUGAAGCUUGCUGGAAGAAGAAGACUCAAGAAUACUUGUUUUGUGUGUGCUGUUGGGAUCUGGUCUGUAGCAGGAAGGGGAGUCCCUGCGCUGCUGGCUGUGGAAGGAACACACCAGCUACAGGGUGCUCAGCCAGGCAGGGGACAGAUGGAAAGGGAUAUCCUGCACUGGCUGUGAACAGACCAAGCCACCAGCAGAAAGACUGAGCUCUGAGCUUUUAACAAACCACAACCUCAGCCUUCUCCAAGGCCUCCUCUGAAUAUAGGAGUAAGGUGUCAGGCUAGAGUGCCCAACUGCUGGAAUCCUGAUCCUCACCUGGGAAGGUGUUCCCUGGAGAAGUGCAGACAGCAGCAUCCUGCCCUGUGGGAACCCCUGAAGAGGAGAAGGCUUGGCCAGGGGGAGCACACAGGAGGAUUUUAGAUUGGGUUUUGAGGACAGGCUGACUUCCAGGUCCAGCUCUGGGGCAGCCCUGGUAAACACUCUUCAUUUACUGGGAGGGACAGGUGUUCCAUGAGCAGGGCGGGGUGGAUGCUCUUUGCCAAACUCUCACUUGUCUCCUUUCUCCUUAGGGCAUUCUUCAUUCACUAAACUUGCUACUAAGGCAGCUUUGGUGGAAGUAAUAUUUCCUGAAAGUGGAGGCCUUUCCUGGCUAAGCACCCAGUGUUGAGGCUUGGGUGAACUGCUGUUUGGAAGAGCAGUGGGAAAAGUGUGGAGUUUUGCUGUGUGCUCCACUACCAGAAACUGCAGACAAGAAUACAGAUAACAAACAACACCAAAAAGCAGAGAACCACUUUCAAUUGCCUGCAUUCAGAUGCUCCUGGUGAGCAGAACAAAGCUUUGAAUGGAGAGCACAACCUGCCUCUGUCUGUCUGCCUUCCUCCUUCCUGGCUCUAAACCAGACUUCAAGUGUGUAGCUCCAGAAUAAGCAGUGAGAGCCAGUUUAGGGUGGGCACCAUCCUUUCCCUCCACUAUUUCUACUGCCCCAGUCAACAGGUAAUUGAGCCCAGGCAGCACCCCUGUAGCACGGCUAUCAGAAAAAAUAACAAGCUGGCAAGUCCUAACUCCUUAUUUGUAUUUGGUGAAGGUUUUUAUCAUGUUUCCUGCAGACACGGAUGGAGAGGAACGGGUGGUUCUGCUGUUGGCAUGCCUUUCUGCCAAAUGCCAAUGGCUUUGCACCAACUCUUGAGUUACUGUUGGGUAUCAGUAUAUCCCUUUUUGCUUUUUCACUGCUUCUUCUCUGCCUGCUGAAGACAGGUAUCUUCUGUACAAAGAUUUUAAAGGAGCUGCUUAGCCUGUUUACUUUUCAUCUUUAUAACCCUUAUUCUAUUUUUUUUUUUAAAUUCUUCCUCUGCCCCAAAAACCUCAUGUUUACCUUCCCCAAGUAGAGAAAAUUUACAGGAAUCUGUAAUAUAUUAAUUGAAAUUUCUUCUUGCUGUGCAUGGCAACAAAAAAAGCAAACUACAACUGCAACACAAUGAAAGCAUAAACAGGAAAACAUACCAAAAAAAGCUUCAUUUUGGAGACAUAGUCCCUUAAGAAUGCAAAACCUUCUUGGCCUGGAAGGUCUGUGAGUCAAGUAUCAAUUGAUGUGAUGUACUGCAAAAGGAAGUGUUUAACUUUUUUAUUUCUGUACAGUAAAUCUCAAUGAAGCCUUCAGGGAAAUAAAACAACUCAGGAGAAUUCACAGGAAAACAGCUCGGAGGGCUGCCGGACAUGUAUGCACCACUUCAAGUUUCAAAGCUUCUUGGGAAUGUUAAUAGUUUAUUCUCAGCAGUGUUACUGGAAUGAGUCUGUAAUUUGGAAACCUUUGCACAACUUUCAAUUUUAAAAGAGAAUUCUGGACUAGAUUUUAGAAAGUGACUAUAAAAGAGUCCCUCAAAACUAUGGUUAGGUAGCCCAUGAACAGUGUCUAGAAAAGCAAGUCCCUUAAGGCUGUCUCCUCUUGGAAUCCAAAUUUAAUAUGUGAUUUAUGUGAUCUUAUGUUGGGAAGUCACCAUGUGAUUUGGGCAACCAAAAAUUGGUGAAUUAUCCAUUAGCCGAAAUAUAUUUAAACUGAGUAAUUGAACACAAUGAGUAGAGUAAUCAAAACUGAAGUGUGUUCGUGGCUUAUUUGUUAACUGACAAAGGAGUUCAAUCAUUAGAUGAGCAUUUGGCUCCAAGUUGUACACCUAGCUCUAUUGUCCAGCUGCAAAGGAGAAAAAUGUUCAGUUAAGCUCAGUCUUAAUGGUUUAUGAAGAUCAGAUCUGGUUUUAUUGCUUUACUUGGAAAAGACUUGAGAAGCCCUUGGAAUAUCUUUUUUAUUUUUAUUUUUUUAUCCCCUUCCAGCAGGAUGUCAGCAGAUCAGAGCAAGACAAUUAUCCCCUGCAGUUGGUCAGACAGUCAUCAAGGAAUUUCUUUGGUCUGGAAGUUGGAAGGGGUCCUUGUCUCUACUGCACUGGGACCCAGCCAGGCAGGACAGCAUUUUUCCUCUCUGCAACUUGAAUUAGGGCAAAGGAAGAACAAACUGUCACUAUGAGCUGUUCCAACCAACUCCCUUCUUCUAUCAACUGCCAACCACGAUUUUAUGUUUAAUUAUUUGCAUUAUGUCAUUAGUCCUGUGCUAGGUGUUGUACAUGGCUAAUGAUGCAAAGCCUGCCCCAGGUUUGGACACUGCACAGACUUCCCUGUAGGGUGGACAUGCAAAAGUGUUUGAAGUACUCAAGGAGGUGAAGCUGGCAAAACCUCUCCUAACUUCUCCCCUUGGAAUAGUUAGAUAUUUAACAUGUUAAUUUAGCUUACUUAUUAAAAUAGAAUAGUCAUCUGCAGAAGUAAAACCUGCACAGGUUAGAAACUCCUUUAUGCUUUCUGUGCUGUAUGUCUGAGCAGGACAUUUCUGAGGGAGACCCUGUCAGAGGUCCCCUGGACUAUUCCCACUGGCACAAGCCCAGGCUGGGCACAGGGACAAUUAUUCAGGAACCUUGGACAAAGCAGAAUCCAUCAAGCUCUUGGCUCUGCAGAAUGUAUAAGUCAAAGUAUCUCUUCUGAAGGUGCCUGGUUAACAGCAGAUCUUCCCCCUCCCAGAGCCUGUGGUCACGGCUGACUGCUUGUCAUUGCCCCAGUGUUAUUUCCAUGUCCUCACAGCCUGUGUGUGCACACGCAUUUCCACUUGCUUUUUUAUCAUGUUCUCCUUUCUGAGCUUCCCUUUAGACUGUUGAUAAACUGUAUUGCUUAAUAUGGGUGAGGGUGUUGGUUUUGGAGGGUCUGGCAAGGUUCCCUGCAGAGGAGCUGUCACAGUGUGGUCUCAUGGUCUAUGAGCUGGACAGUGGAGCUUGCUGGGUCCCUCCCAGCAGGAGUGUGCCUGCCAGCUGCCAUGGUGGGGGUGAAACUGGGUAAGGAUAUUCUGUGUACUGGUAGUAAAUCUCUGAGCAAAGUGGGCUAGGAAAGGGGAUGGGCGGUGCUGGUGGCAGAGGAGGGUCAGCCUGCCUCACAGAGCCCCUGUGCUACACUCACCAAGUCAGGUCUGAAAGAGUGCAGAGGGAAAUGAUUUCUUCUCUGGCCUGUGUUGGUGCCUCUGCCCCCUGCUCUCGUGUAGGGCUGUGUGUGUAGUGUCUGGGAAGCAGAGCAGGGCAAGGCAGCAGGUGGCCAAAUGCUUUUCUUUCUCAGUCCUGUGGUCAGAGAUGAGGCCAGUUGUCUGUCACCUGAAUCAAACCUGCCUUAACCUGGUGGAAUUGAGGUCAGGGACUGGAGCUGGAAUAUAUCCUGAUAUUCCAUGGCUGGCUGUACACUAGGAAACCCAGGAGCUGAUGGUGCUUCACUGCUCUGGUAGGAGAUGCCCUUUACCCUUCUCUGGAGUGGUUGAUUCUGUCUGCACUGAAAAAUGCUCUGCUUCCGGAGAGGAAAUGUGGGCCCUGCUUCUCUGAGAUGCUGCAGGGUGGCCAAACAUCCUCAGCAGAUAGAGAUCAUGUAAUUCAGGUGGACCACUAAACUUUUAGGCAGCAAUUAGGACUUAUACAGUAACUCUGAGUCAACUAAUACAUCUGGGUGUUGCCGUGGCAUACUUCCAAUGGCAAAUCCUUCCUGUGUAGGCUUGAUGUUCUUACAUUCUCUGAUGGCCUCUCAAAUGCUCCACUUGGAAACUUGAUCAAAAACCUGUGGUGAUGCCAAAGGGAGAUGUCCCAUUAAAUUCCUCAGUCUUCCUUUGGUCCUUUAAACCUGCAGAUGAUCCCAGGCAAUUUCUUUGAUGCCUUCUUCCUCAGUGGAUGAAGUAAUUAUGACUUCUGUGCAGCAGGCUAAUAGCUCUGAAGGCUUUAGUCAGGCUGAUUAACAACCACUGUGUUUUAAUAAAAAAAUGUUCUGGUAAAUCUUUCUGAAUUGCAGCCCUAAUUACUCUGCAGCCUGAUGUGCAGCAAUUGCAAGGCUAAUAGGAUCACCUGAAUCCAGUUAAUGAAUCCUCUGUUACGGCUUGCUGUGACUCACAAGAUGUGCAGUGUUUCUUCUGGUCUCCCCUGCCCUGCCCCAUUCCCUGGUGAAUAUUUAUGCUCUGUAU